AAUCCAUACAUCGGGCAUUUUUGAAUUCAAUCUCUAAAUCGUUCCCAAGCUUCAUAUAAUGUUUUAUCCUCUAAUUUUUGAAAAUACGUGAAGUCAUUCUUGAGCUU
Molecule: small nucleolar RNA, 107 nt
Organism: Gossypium raimondii (Peruvian cotton)
Lineage: Eukaryota; Viridiplantae; Streptophyta; Magnoliopsida; Malvales; Malvaceae
Rfam family: Plant small nucleolar RNA R71
About the family: R71 is a member of the C/D box family of snoRNAs containing the C (UGAUGA) and D (CUGA) box motifs. Multiple nearly identical copies of this snoRNA have been identified in Arabidopsis, and it is thought to function as a 2'-O-ribose methylation guide for 18S ribosomal RNA.
Source: Rfam